This 577-nucleotide long non-coding RNA is filed under the name Homo sapiens (human). Its description in RNAcentral is "HSALNT0314594". The record is from RNAcentral. Lineage: Eukaryota; Metazoa; Chordata; Mammalia; Primates; Hominidae.
GCCCCGGCGCGGGAGGGCGAACCGGCGCGAGAGAGCGAGCGCGCGCGCGCCCCCGCCACAGCCGCCACCGCCCACAACCUCCGCCCCCGGCCGGCGGCGCACGCGCAAGGGAGCGGGCGGACGGGCGCGCGCACGCCGCAGGGGCGGGGAUGGGCCCUGGAAGGCGUGGCCCCUCCCCUAGCCCGCCUUCCCACGCGGUCUCUGGGCUGGUUGAGCUGCGCCGCUGCAGGUAGUGCUGAGUUGCUCCAGUGCCACUGGGUUAGGGUCUCCACAACCGAGCUGGUCUCAGCAAGUGGUGUCCAUACAUGGGGCUCGAACCUGGGUUGAAGGGUCGCCAGAGCGACGGUUGGAGAACGUGGAACUAAGCUGGAGGACACCUGAGUACUCUUAAGCAAUCCCCGUGAUUGGAGAGGAUGAAGGCCCUGAGGUCCAAGAACAUGGAAACCUGACAGUGGACGCCAACAGCUGUGGAGAGAAGCCGGGCGACAGCUGUGGAGAGAAGCCGGGCGAUAUGCUCACGCUUCCGUGUGCCCAGCAAUCCUGCUUUAUCUUUUUAAAUAAAGGUGAUUCCUGAUAA